Molecule: RNA transcript, 1965 nt
Organism: Ficedula albicollis (Collared flycatcher)
Lineage: Eukaryota; Metazoa; Chordata; Aves; Passeriformes; Muscicapidae
Gene: TMEM229B
Gene name: transmembrane protein 229B
Exons: 4
Source: RefSeq, a predicted model, not a curated record
GCAGGCCGGCAGCGGGACGCGGGGCGGGGGAGGCAGUGCGAGGCAGUGCGGAAAGAGUUAAGGGAAGGUGGCGGGGCAGGCUGGCUGUCGGGAGCGAGCAUGUGCAGAUUGAAACCGCAUCCAUACUACGGGCGAGUGUCACUGGCACACUUCACCUCCCGCCGGCCGCGGGGCACCCAUGGGCACCGGAAGGCUGUCUGGUUGCUGUACUAGCUGUUGGUCACACGCACCUGGGCUGAAAACGACUGGCAUCUGAAACCCCUUGGACCUGCUGGAGGCAGUCUAGUCUACCUGCGGAUGUUGUGAAUUAGGAGCUGGCCAAAGAGUGGGAGAGCUCCAGGAUCCCUCCCUGGAAAAGAGCACUGCUGGGGUGAGUGCAGAAGAAUGGCUGCGGCAGAACCUCUGACCGCUUUCUCACGAUGGUACCUCUACGCCAUCCACGGCUAUUUCUGUGAGGUGAUGUUCACAGCUGCCUGGGAGUUCGUGGUCAACUUCAACUGGAAGUUCCCAGGUGUUACCAGUGUGUGGGCACUCUUCAUCUAUGGCACCUCCAUCCUCAUUGUGGAGAAGAUGUAUCUGUAUCUCAAAGACAAGUGUAACAUUUUAGUGCGCUGCUUCAUUUACACACUAUGGACAUACCUCUGGGAGUUCACCACUGGCCUCAUCCUACGCCAGUUCAAUGCCUGCCCAUGGGACUAUUCCCAGUUUGAUUUUGACUUCAUGGGCCUGAUCACCCUGGAGUAUGCCAUCCCAUGGUUUUGUGCUUCUUUCAUCAUGGAGCAGCUGGUGAUCAGAAACACGCUGCGCUUACGGUUUGAUGAGACUGCCGAGCCCGGGGCCCCCUCCGCGCCCGUUGCCUUGGCCAACGGCCACGUGAAGACAGAUUGAGCUGUGACUUAGAGCCAUACUUAGCAGUCUGAGAGAGCCCAGACCUCUACCAUGGACAGUCAGCUCUGGCUCUGAGGUACUGCUCCUUGCUGUAUUAGAUUCAUAAACCCCAUUUUUCUAAUGCGGGUGUGCAUGGGAUAUACCAGAAAAAAAUGGAACCAAUAGAUUUUCUAUGGAUUUUACUCUUUGGGCUCCAAGGACCAAUAUCAGUUACUUGUUAGUUAGGUUGUUUCUGAUUUUAACUUAUUACUGAUGAAAGCAGUCCUUUUGCUUACACUUUAAAGUGAAGAAAGAAGAAAAAAAGAAAUGCUACAGCGGAAAUGCAUCCAAAAAAAACCCCACCUAAUCAGUGGAUGGGCAUGGACACGCCAGCUGAGUUAGUGAUUGGCUUACUCCAUUAGGCAAUAUUCAGGUGCUUGCUUGCAACCAAUACCUCCCGUGGGACCUGAGAUGCUGCAGGAACAAGCAAAAUCCAUCUGCUGUUGAGAAGUACCUAAGACUGGCAGUCUGCUGGGGAGAACUGCCCAGAGCACGUUACCAGGACCUCAGUGGCAGCUCAGUGAGAGCUCGGGAGCUGGACUGAAGUUGAAGAGACAUUUAAAUUAAGAAGAAAAAAAACGCACAAGGCCUAACAUUUGUUUGUAUGUGUAUCUUCCUCAGUAGAUUAAAGUUGCCUGUUUUGAGUUCACCAGCAAUAAAAAAACCUUGUGAUUUAUCUACCUUGUCCUAACUGCAGCAUAUAGAAAGUGACCCUGAUCUCUGCCUUUCUUUUCCAGGGGUUGGUGGGAUAUGGACUCCCCAAGGUUCCAGUUUUGCUUCUGUUCUCUUGCUUAUCUUAUGUACAGUCCACUCUAAAGGAUCUCAGAACAUCUGAUAAAUAAAUACAGAGUCUGGUGUCGGUCACACAAGAGGCAGUUUAAGCAUUACUGUGGUAUCUGUUCAUACUCCAAAGAUCUUGCCAGAGGGGAAUGUUUGAUCUACAGCAGGACCAGAUGGCAUUUUGGUCUUUUGUGUUAUAAUUGAGAGAAAUGUGUACAUACGUACCAGGUACUAUUGCGCCUUUGGUCUGAGUGCAUU